Molecule: long non-coding RNA, 363 nt
Filed under: Homo sapiens (human)
Lineage: Eukaryota; Metazoa; Chordata; Mammalia; Primates; Hominidae
Description: non-protein coding lnc-IRX3-80:63
Source: RNAcentral
GCUGGAAAAGGUUUCUGCCACUACCUUCCUAGACUCAUCUAAGUGGAUGGACUCCAGGGGAUGGAGAAUGGAAGGCAGCAGAUGUUUGUUGACUUCUUGCUCUAUAUCGGGCACUGUGCUAGAUACCAUACACGCCAUCAACAUUUAGGACAGUAUGACAAAGGAGAAUGAAAGCUGUCUCUUGUAGAUAGGAUAUUUUCAGCCGUCAUCACCAUGGACUCUUUGAAAUGUACUACUUCAGAAAAGCCACAGUGACUCCCUCUGGGCCUCACCCACCUGAGAUGACAUCACGACGCAAAUCUAGGACUUACGCUCUUCAUACGGAUGGAAUGGAUCUAAUUUUAGCAACAUGAUGAAUGGCCC